CAGCCCCGUAUAGGAAGCAUGAAUGGACGUAUUAAGUAGGGCGGAACACGUGAAAUUCUGUCUGAACAUGGGGGGACCACCCUCUAAGGCUAAGUACUCCUUACUGACCGAUAGUGAACCAGUACCGUGAGGGAAAGGUGAAAAGCACCCCGACGAG
RNAcentral lists this ribosomal RNA (157 nucleotides) under Candidatus Moraniibacteriota bacterium. RNAcentral's name for it is "partial 23S ribosomal RNA". It matches the Rfam family "Bacterial large subunit ribosomal RNA", at positions 368 to 533 of the family's 2925-position model. The record is from RNAcentral. Lineage: Bacteria; Candidatus Moraniibacteriota.